This 466-nucleotide ribosomal RNA is filed under the name uncultured bacterium. Its description in RNAcentral is "partial 16S ribosomal RNA". It matches the Rfam family "Bacterial small subunit ribosomal RNA", at positions 339 to 795 of the family's 1533-position model. The record is from RNAcentral.
CUACGGGUGGCUGCAGUGGGGAAUAUUGGACAAUGGGGGAAACCCUGAUCCAGCAAUGCCGCGUGUGUGAAGAAGGCCUGCGGGUUGUAAAGCACUUUCGGUUGGGAGGACUGCUUCUAGCACUAAUAUUGUUGGAAGUUGACGUUACCUUCAGAAGAAGCACCGGCUAACUCCGUGCCAGCAGCCGCGGUAAGUACGGAGGGUGCAAGCGUUAAUCGGAAUUACUGGGCGUAAAGCGCGCGUAGGCGGCUAGAUCAGUCGGGUGUGAAAGCCCCGGGCUUAACCUGGGAACUGCAUCCGAUACUGUCUAGCUUGAGUACAGGAGAGGAGAGUGGAAUUCCACAUGUAGCGGUGAAAUGCGUAGAUAUGUGGAGGAACACCAAUGGCGAAGGCAGCUCUCUGGCCUGAUACUGACGCUGAGGUGCGAAAGCGUGGGGAGCAAACAGGAUUAGAUACCCCAGUAGUC